Molecule: ribosomal RNA, 260 nt
Filed under: uncultured archaeon
Lineage: Archaea
Description: partial 16S ribosomal RNA
Rfam family: Archaeal small subunit ribosomal RNA
Source: RNAcentral
AGGGUGUAAACGCUGCAGACUUGGUGUUGGGGGCCCUUUGGGGGCAUUCAGUGCCGGAGAGAAGUUGUUAAGUCUGCUACUUGGGGAGUACGUCCGCAAGGAUGAAACUUAAAGGAAUUGGCGGGGGAGCACCGCAACGGGAGGAGCGUGCGGUUUAAUUGGAUUCAACACCGUAAACUCACCAGGGAAGACUGUUACAUGAAGGCCGAGAUGAAGACUCUGCUAGAUUUUCAGAGAGGAGGUGCAUGGCGUCAGUGACU